GACGAACGCUGGCGGCGUGCUUAACACAUGCAAGUCGAGCGGAAAGGCCCCUUUGGGGGUACUCGAGUGGCGAACGGGUGAGUAACACGAGAGUAACCUGCCCUUGACUUCGGGAUAACUUCAGGAAACUGGGGCUAAUACCGGAUAGGAAUCCUUGCUGCAUGGUGGGGGUUGGAAAGCUUCGGCGGUUUUGGAUGGACUCGCGGCUUAUCAGCUUGUUGGUGGGGUAGUGGCUUACCAAGGCUUUGACGGGUAGCCGGCCUGAGAGGGCGACCGGCCACAUUGGGACUGAGAUACGGCCCAGACUCCUACGGGAGGCAGCAGGGGGGAAUAUUGCACAAUGGGCGGAAGCCUGAUGCAGCAACGCCGCGUGCGGGAUGACGGCCUUCGGGUUGUAAACCGCUUUCAGCAGGGGCGAAGCUUGUGGUGACGGUACCUGCAGAAGAAGCACCGGCUAACUACGUG
RNAcentral lists this ribosomal RNA (465 nucleotides) under uncultured bacterium. RNAcentral describes it as "partial 16S ribosomal RNA". It matches the Rfam family "Bacterial small subunit ribosomal RNA", at positions 28 to 507 of the family's 1533-position model. The record is from RNAcentral.